GCACUUAUAGCUCAGAGGUAGAGCAAGUGAUUGCAGCUCACUAGGUCCCUGGUUCAAUUCCGGGUGAGUGCU
Molecule: transfer RNA, 72 nt
Filed under: Friedmanniomyces endolithicus
Lineage: Eukaryota; Fungi; Ascomycota; Dothideomycetes; Mycosphaerellales; Teratosphaeriaceae
Description: tRNA-Cys
Rfam family: tRNA
About the family: Transfer RNA (tRNA) molecules are approximately 80 nucleotides in length. Their secondary structure includes four short double-helical elements and three loops (D, anti-codon, and T loops). Further hydrogen bonds mediate the characteristic L-shaped molecular structure. tRNAs have two regions of fundamental functional importance: the anti-codon, which is responsible for specific mRNA codon recognition, and the 3' end, to which the tRNAs corresponding amino acid is attached (by aminoacyl-tRNA synthetases). tRNAs cope with the degeneracy of the genetic code in two manners: having more than one tRNA (with a specific anti-codon) for a particular amino acid; and 'wobble' base-pairing, i.e. permitting non-standard base-pairing at the 3rd anti-codon position.
Source: RNAcentral